UUUUGGCUGCUGCAACGUAGAGGUGCUGGAACGUUGGAUAUAGCAACCCUUUUCUUUGAACAUUUGGAGAACCACAAAUGGAGGGCUAUGGCUGAACGUUACAUUCAUUAGUUCCUCUUCUUUUUUUUUUUUUUUUUAUCUUGGUGAACACACGGACAAGUUUCAUUCUCGGGUGCUGGAACAUUUAAAAAAAAAGGGGCUGCAACGUGAUCAGCUAGCUGAGUGUCACAGUGAAGGAUUUUUUUUAUAUUCAACUUUCUGUUAGAAGAUUGGAGGCAUUGAUUGAAGAAAGAAUAGUAGCGCUGCUGCAGCCACCACCUAGGAAAGCACACUUUCAUUUUAUAUUUCAUUUAGUAAUAGUUGUACGCACACUUGAGAUUUUUGAGGUUUUUACUAGAGCAUUUUUUUUCUUUGGUUUGGAGAAUGUGAUGCACGGCUUUUUCAUGGAAGGAGCUGCUGCAAGUGGUUAUUUUAUUUUAGAAUAUAGCAUUCAUUUCAAUUGCUAGCAUUUGGAAGCUAGUGCUACAUCCAGCAAGGUAGUUGUAGGUGCUAAUUUCAAUAGUAGUAGACGUAUGGUGAUGAAUUCCAUUUCCAAUUAGAGGAGAAAGUCACGGCUUUGGGAUGGGGAUUUGGUUUCAAUAAGCAUUUCACUUUCUAGCUUAAUAGCUUUUUUAAUAGCAUUAAUUGCAAGUCAUUUCUCUGUUCUACUCAAUUGAUUCAAGCACUUUUUGCAUGGAAGUUUGAUUCACGCUAGUACGGUCUUGUAUGAGGAAAAUUCAUUUAUGCUUAAAUUGAAUUUGGAAGCUCAUGGUGUG
Molecule: long non-coding RNA, 815 nt
Filed under: Vigna radiata
Lineage: Eukaryota; Viridiplantae; Streptophyta; Magnoliopsida; Fabales; Fabaceae
Description: long non-coding RNA (VRAD_LNC008028)
Source: RNAcentral